This 1107-nucleotide ribosomal RNA is filed under the name fungal sp. Its description in RNAcentral is "eukaryotic LSU rRNA". The stretch from base 515 to 1107 matches the Rfam family "Eukaryotic large subunit ribosomal RNA", at positions 1 to 598 of the family's 3401-position model. Lineage: Eukaryota; Fungi. The record is from RNAcentral.
AUUACCGAGUGCGGGCCCUCUGGGUCCAACCUCCCAUCCGUGUCUCUUGUACCCNGUUGCUUCGGCGGGCCCGCCUUCAUGGCCGCCGGGGGGCUUCUGCCCCCGGGCCCGCGCCCGCCGGAGACUCCAACAUUGAACACUGUCUGAAGGUUGCAGUCUGAGUUUUCUAUAAGAAAAAUCGUUAAAACUUUCAACAACGGAUCUCUUGGUUCCGGCAUCGAUGAAGAACGCAGCGAAAUGCGAUACGUAAUGUGAAUUGCAGAAUUCAGUGAAUCAUCGAGUCUUUGAACGCACAUUGCGCCCUCUGGUAUUCNGGGGGGCAUGCCUGUCCGAGCGUCAUUGCUGCCCCUCAAGCACGGCUUGUGUGUUGGGCCCCCGUCCCGGUUCUCCAAGCCGGGACGGGCCCGAAAGGCAGCGGCGGCACCGUGUCCGGUCCUCGAGUGUAUGGGGCUCUGUCACUCACUCGUGUAGGUCCGGCCGGCGGCCAGCCUCUUCAACCAUUUUUUAACCAGGUUGACCUCGGAUCAGGUAGGGAUACCCGCUGAACUUAAGCAUAUCAAUAAGCGGAGGAAAAGAAACCAACCGGGAUUGCCUCAGUAACGGCGAGUGAAGCGGCAAAAGCUCAAAUUUGAAAUCUGGCUCCUUCGGGGUCCGAGUUGUAAUUUGUAGAGGAUGCUUCGGGUGCGGCCCCCGUCUAAGUGCUCUGGAAUGGGCCAUCAGAGAGGGUGAGAAUCCCGUCUGGGGCGGGGUGUCCGCGUCCGUGUGAAGCUCCUUCGACGAGUCGAGUUGUUUGGGAAUGCAGCUCUAAAUGGGUGGUAAAUUUCAUCUAAAGCUAAAUAUUGGCCGGAGACCGAUAGCGCACAAGUAGAGUGAUCGAAAGAUGAAAAGCACUUUGAAAAGAGAGUUAAAAAGCACGUGAAAUUGUUGAAAGGGAAGCACUUACGACCAGACUCGCUCACGGGGUUCAGCCGGCUUUCGGGCCGGUGUACUUCCCCGGGAGCGGGCCAGCGUCGGUUUGGGCGGCCGGUUAAAGGCCCCUGGAAUGUAACACCUCUCGGGGUGUCUUAUAGCCAGGGGUGUCAUGCGGCCAGCCCAGACCGAGAACGC